GGGGAUCUAGCUCAUCGGUAGAGCGCUCGCUUAGCACCUUUCUUGCAAAGUGUGCGAGAGGCGCAGGGUUCGACUCCCUGGUUCUCCA
Molecule: transfer RNA, 88 nt
Filed under: Rhodotorula toruloides
Lineage: Eukaryota; Fungi; Basidiomycota; Microbotryomycetes; Sporidiobolales; Sporidiobolaceae
Description: tRNA-Ala
Rfam family: tRNA
About the family: Transfer RNA (tRNA) molecules are approximately 80 nucleotides in length. Their secondary structure includes four short double-helical elements and three loops (D, anti-codon, and T loops).
Source: RNAcentral